This 301-nucleotide ribosomal RNA is filed under the name uncultured bacterium. Its description in RNAcentral is "partial 16S ribosomal RNA". It matches the Rfam family "Bacterial small subunit ribosomal RNA", at positions 509 to 807 of the family's 1533-position model. The record is from RNAcentral.
CAGUAGCCACGGUAAUACGGAGGGGGCUAGCGUUGUUCGGAAUUACUGAGCGUAAAGGGCGCGUAGGCGGACUGAUAAGUCAGGGGUGAAAUCCCAAGGCUCAACCUUGGAACUGCCUUUGAUACUGUUUGUCUUGAGUUCGAGAGAGGUAAGUGGAACUGCGAGUGUAGAGGUGAAAUUCGUAGAUAUUCGCAAGAACACCAGUGGCGAAGGCGGCUUACUGGCUCGAAACUGACGCUGAGGCGCGAAAGCGUGGGGAGCAAACAGGAUUAGAUACCCCUGUAGUCCCUGUCUCUUAUAC